RNAcentral lists this ribosomal RNA (403 nucleotides) under uncultured bacterium. RNAcentral's name for it is "partial 16S ribosomal RNA". It matches the Rfam family "Bacterial small subunit ribosomal RNA", at positions 28 to 526 of the family's 1533-position model. The record is from RNAcentral.
GACGAACGCUGGCGGCGUGCCUAAUACAUGCAAGUCGAACGCAGUGGGGACGGGUGAGUAACACGUGGGUAACCUCCCAUCAGAGGGGAUAACACUUGGAAACAGGUGCUAAACCGAUACUGAUGGAUGGACCCUCGGUGCAUUAGCUAGUUGGUGAGGUAACGGCUCACAAAGGCCACGAUGCAUAGACGAGCUGAGAGGGGGACAGGCCACACUGGGACUGAGACACGGCCCAGACUCGUACGGGAGGCAGCAGUGGGGAAUCUUCGGCAAUGGACGAAAGUCUGACCGAGCAACGCCGCGUGAGUGAAGAAGGUUUUCGGAUCGUAAAGGUCUGUUGUUAGAGAAGCGGUAAGUAAGGAGAAAGCCACGGCUAACUACGUGCCAGCAGCCGCGGUAAGAG